GCCCCGUUAGCUCAGCUGGUAGAGCAGUUGCCUCUUAAGCAAACGGUCGCAGGUUCGAGUCCUGCACGGGGCACCA
RNAcentral lists this transfer RNA (76 nucleotides) under Patescibacteria group bacterium. Its description in RNAcentral is "tRNA-Lys". It matches the Rfam family "tRNA". From Rfam's summary of the family: Transfer RNA (tRNA) molecules are approximately 80 nucleotides in length. Their secondary structure includes four short double-helical elements and three loops (D, anti-codon, and T loops). RNAcentral also lists the same sequence under 1 other name. The record is from RNAcentral.